RNAcentral lists this long non-coding RNA (1305 nucleotides) under Bos indicus x Bos taurus (hybrid cattle). RNAcentral's name for it is "lncRNA (ENSBIXG00005009778.1)". The record is from RNAcentral. Lineage: Eukaryota; Metazoa; Chordata; Mammalia; Artiodactyla; Bovidae.
GAUUUCUCUACAAGAAGAAAGACAAAUCAUAGAAAUUGGCAGGCUGCAUGGUGAUCCAGUUGAGAAAAGAAUGUGACUGCACCAUACUUCUGCUAAGAGUCUUGCUAAUUCACUCAACAAGGGAUAUCCCAAAUGUGUGGAAAAAGAGCCAGGCAUCCCAUUCUAGAUUUGAUGUGGAUGACAGGUUUGACAGGAAGAAUAUGAUUUACAGAUUGAAGAAUAGGAUAUCAAAUUUGUUGAGAGAAGUCUAUUGGCAUUUCACUUCACUUGUCAGGCUGCAUAUAAAGGCAAAGAUUGGAGAUCUACAAGUGAAAAGAAAUAUUUCAACAGACAAUGCCUGGUACUUUGAAUCUGAUCACUUUACAAACAAGCAGAUGCUUUCUCUAUUGUACGGAUGACCUCAUCAGGGAAAGUGGAUUAAGCUCUGGAUCACUCUACUCAGAGUCAUCCUCCAGCACUUCUGAAAUCACAGGCCUAUUCUUCUGCUCUACUCUUCCCUUAAAAAAACAAGGACAAUUCUAAAUAACGUUCAUCUCAUUAAUUAAAAAAAACAAAUAGGUAAGUAUUUAUACCCAUAGUUAAAUGUAAAUAAUGUUUCAUUAAGUAUGAAUCAUUAAGUUGCUUUCACAAUGAUUUUAGAGCAAACUGUAUUUGGGGCAGACAUUAUGCUAGAAAUUCUUUCAUGGCUUAUUUAAUUCUCACAAUAUUCUAGAACUGCUACCCCCUUUUUAAACAUAAGAUAAGCACUGGUUAGAAAGAUAACAUAACUUGCUAAAGAUCAACAGUAAAAAAAUCUAUUUACAGCUAAUCAAAAUUGGCUUUAACUGAAACAAGGUAGGUUUUUGUAUUACAAAGAAGCUAAAGACGUCAUAUGACAUACAGUUGUGUUUCAUUAUCAGUCAUUAACUCCACCGUCUUCCAGAUUAUCUGGCAAAAUAUGCCAUUUAAAAGAUAGGAGCCCACUUUUCCAGAAUGACCUGUCUUUUCUAUUUUGUUCUUGUUGAUCACCUAACAAAAUUAAAGAAGAAUGUACCUUGUCUCACAACAUAUUUUAAAACAAUAUCUUUCACUGUUGUUUUUAAUUUUUUUUUCUUUUCUUUUUUUGCAGAACUCUCUUCCUUAAACAUCUAUUAAAAAAAAUUAGCAUUUAACAGAUGAAGGACUUCACUGGUGGUCCAGUGGUUAAGAUUCUGUGCUUCCACUGCAGGGAGCACAGGUAUGAUCCCUGAUUGGGGAACUGAAAUCCCACAUGCCAUAAGACAUGGCCAAAAAUAAAUAAGUAAAAUAAUAAAAUAAAUGAAAACA